AUGACAAAUGGUAGCUUGGACAUGCUCCUACACCAGCCUCAGAGUUCAUGGCGCCUAGGGUUCCUUGAGAGACUAGGCAUCAUGCUCGGCGUGUCGAUGGCAAUGGAGUACCUCCAUCACAAUCACAACGAGCUGAUCUUUCACCGUGACCUGAAGCCUAGCAACAUGUUGUUUGACGAGGAGAUGACGAUGCAUGUAGCGGACUUUGGCAUUGCAAUGUUGAUUCUAGACGACAAAUCCACAACAUGCACGAGCAUGCCCGAAACAGUAGGCGAGUACGGGUCUCUCGGAAAAGCAUCGUUGAACAGCGACGUGUUCAGCUACGGAAUCAUGCUCCUUGAAGUCUUCACCGGGAGGAGACCCACGGAUGCCAUGUUCGGCGAACAGCUGACCCUCGGGCAGUGGGUCCAUCAGGCAUUCCCCGCGGAGCUUCUCCAGGCCGUGGACGGCCAACUACUGCAAGGACCCUACCUUUCUAGUGGGAGCUCGGACCAUGGCCUUCUCGCGUCCGUGUUCGAGCUAGGUUUGCUCUGCUCCAGCGAGUCGGCUGACCAGAGGAUGACGAUGCGCGAUGUGGUCGUGGCGCUGAAGAAGAUCAAAGACGAACAAGUUCCUGCAGCCAGGCUCCCAUCAUGCGAACCACCUCGGCCAAAUCAGUUCAGCGGGGCAACGCCAUCAUUCUCCUACAACUGUAAUGUCGGAGGACCAGUAGUGUACUAUUCUAAUCACGAUGGAAAGAAAGAUCUCUUCUGGUUCUGGAAUUGUACUAGCAUCUCCAAUGAACUCUUCUUGAUGACAGCAGCAACAGGAAAGCAUGCCAACAAUCAUAAACAAGUUUGUACUACGUGCAGCGCAGCACAUGGAGCCAUGGAGAGGACGACGGACAGUUAG
Molecule: ribosomal RNA, 891 nt
Filed under: Triticum aestivum (bread wheat)
Lineage: Eukaryota; Viridiplantae; Streptophyta; Magnoliopsida; Poales; Poaceae
Description: partial small subunit ribosomal RNA
Source: RNAcentral